GAGAAAAAAGGAGGAAAAAGUCAUCGAUAUAGAUCGGGAGGAUAUAUCCGCAAACCGCGAGUUAUAUUGAGAUUUUCGUGAGUGUUUUGUAAAUUGAUUGAUGUGUAUUGGUUGACACAGGCAAUGUGUUACAGUAUUUUUCACUUAGACUAUUUUGCCCGUGAGCGAGAGCGGCAGCACGUUCGGUUAGCCUUUAAUUAGUUGCCGGAUCACAUAGCGCUGUGGAAAGUGUUUUUGUGCUACAAACUUUAAUGGUGCCGGCUGGCCGUGAUCAUUCUGUCGUGGGAAGCGAUUAAGGAACUACAAAGCUUUUGUCGGGAUACCGGAUAGCGCACCCAGCCACCGGGAGCGUUGGGUGUUCCUCCGGCAUCGUGGGACGGCUGGCGGAAAGUCACUGAACGUGUUUAAAGUGCAGCCCCGGAGAAUAUCGUGCCUGCAUAAGGAACACAGAUCACAACACCAACAGCAGCCAUAACCAGGAGCAGAAGAGAAACACAUAUUCCUGCCAUCACACCUGAAGACUGAUCUGUGGAGGAUAAAACAUCAUCAUUAUCAUUAAUGAAUUCUUCACAGGCUUCAGUAAUGACAGAGAGACAAUAAUUAAUAUUAAAUGAAUUUAUUAAUAUGAUCAUAAACAUUUGUAACCAUGAUCAGAUUUCAUUAAAAAAAUACAUUUUUA
This is a long non-coding RNA of Triplophysa dalaica, 679 nucleotides long. RefSeq lists it as uncharacterized. The transcript is spliced from 2 exons. The record is from RefSeq and is a predicted model, not a curated record. Lineage: Eukaryota; Metazoa; Chordata; Actinopteri; Cypriniformes; Nemacheilidae.